This is a long non-coding RNA of Anthonomus grandis grandis, 412 nucleotides long. RefSeq lists it as uncharacterized. Lineage: Eukaryota; Metazoa; Arthropoda; Insecta; Coleoptera; Curculionidae. The record is from RefSeq and is a predicted model, not a curated record. The transcript has 2 exons.
CUGAUACGAACUGGUAACAUAUGUUUGUAGGAGUGAGGUCUGGUCAGUCGCGAGGAUUAGUAUAUUAGUUUUGUCAUUAUGAGGAAACGGUAAAAGCCCACGAAAUUGUUCUUAAGUGCUAAAGGCCUGGAACAGAAAAAAACCUCUAAACAUAUAGAACAAAAAAUACUUUUUCGUUCGGUCCUUGUCAACAACAGAAUGUAAAUAAAUAAAAUUAAAAAUAAUAAAAUAAAAAAAAACAAUAACAAUAAAUAGAGGAGGGUUUUUGACAUGGAAUCAAACCCUGGGGCCGCUGGGGCGUAUAGCCAGUACCAAUUUUAAACCUUUUAUCUCCUGAUGAUGGACACCACUGUGUCCAAAACAUGUAAGGAAUUUUAAAUAACUAAAUGUUUAAUAAAUAAGUGGAGUGAGA